This is a long non-coding RNA of Rhipicephalus sanguineus (brown dog tick), 324 nucleotides long. RefSeq lists it as uncharacterized. The record is from RefSeq and is a predicted model, not a curated record. The transcript has 2 exons. Lineage: Eukaryota; Metazoa; Arthropoda; Arachnida; Ixodida; Ixodidae.
CCUCUCAUUGGCCGCCCGUGACGCCGCUCUGGCGCUCUCGCCGCUCUCGCUCUUAUCUCGCUCUCUUUCCACCGAAGCCGCCGACGAUAACUGCGCAGUAUAGUUUCAAGCGUUUCAAGUUGAAUAUCCUUUCUCCGUCUUUUCGGAAUGUGCUUCUUGUUCGUCCUGCUAUUUUUUCGUGUCAAAACUCCAGGACCUCAUUGUCUUCCAGACACCCAACAGACGUUCUUGAACAAAGUCAUCAAUUCCAUUGCUCCAGCCUAUGUCAAGUGGCCAACAUAUUGUUUGGAAUUGCUACAAUAAAGGUUAUGCAUGAUAACGACA